This 253-nucleotide ribosomal RNA is filed under the name uncultured bacterium. Its description in RNAcentral is "partial 16S ribosomal RNA". It matches the Rfam family "Bacterial small subunit ribosomal RNA", at positions 524 to 776 of the family's 1533-position model. The record is from RNAcentral.
UACGUAGGUGGCAAGCGUUAUCCGGAAUUAUUGGGCGUAAAGCGCGCGUAGGCGGUUUUUUAAGUCUGAUGUGAAAGCCCACGGCUCAACCGUGGAGGGUCAUUGGAAACUGGAAAACUUGAGUGCAGAAGAGGAAAGUGGAAUUCCAUGUGUAGCGGUGAAAUGCGCAGAGAUAUGGAGGAACACCAGUGGCGAAGGCGGCUUUCUGGUCUGCAACUGACGCUGAUGUGCGAAAGCGUGGGGAUCAAACAGG